CCCUCUGCCCCCGCCCCGUGCUCUGCUGAGGCUGUAAAUAAUCGGGGCUGCCAGGGACGUGGGUCGGGGAACCUGGAGUGUCGCGGGGUGCCUGUGCCUCCGAGCCCCACUGGCCCCUGCGCCCAGAGACGCACUGGCUUUCUUCUCCCGCUGGCCCCGCGGCGUCAGGACAGAGGAUGACCGAACCGUAAAACCUUGCACCAUUGGGUUCAGCCUUUGGCCUCUCCUUUCCCGCUAAAUUUCUCUGAAUCCGGCUGGAGCAAGAUCUCUGGGUUUCACAGGAUGUUGGAUAUCCUGGGAGAGGAGCUGGAGAGAGGGCGAGGUCUUGCCCUGGGUGGCGCAGUGCCUCCGUGCCCACAGUGGGGAGUGAGGGGUGGGGAGUUGGUGAAUCUUCCAAGUGGAAAGAGGGAGAGCUCAUUCUUUUUCCCCUCAAUAACAAGUCCACAUGGCUUGAAUGAAUUUUAGCUUCUUGGCAGAACAGCUCAGGGAAAGCUACUGAUGGCCUGUCAUAGGGCUGGCAUUUGGCUCAGCUAACCCAUGUGUUCAAGCCAGUGUGAAUGGGCACCUCUCUCCACACACAUGCUCAUUCAUCCUCCUAAAUAUCCUUCCAUCCGCCCAUCCAUCUAUCCACCCAUCUUUCCUUAUGUCCUUCUGGGGCUCUCACAUCCAUCCAUCCUCCUGUCCAUCCACUAACCACUUAGGUCCAUCUAUCAUCCCACUCAUUCAUUCAUCCAACCACACACCUUUUAAUUUAUUCAACCACCUAUUCUUCUAUUCAUCUUCCCAUACAACUUCUCAUCCAUCAUUCCACACUUCCUUUUUCACAUCUCUUCAUAAAACCACAACCAUCCACCAUCCUCUUCUCCACCCAUCCACCCACAUAUCUGUUUAUUGAUAUAUCCACUCAUUUCCCAUCUGUCCAAGAUCAACAUAUCCACCUAUCAUUUUAUCCAUUCUCUCAUCCACCCAUACGUUCAUCUAUUAUUUUUGCCCCCAUUAUCCUCCUUUCUGUGUAAACAUUAAUUCAUUUUCUCCCAUCUUUCCUACCCAGCAGAUCUUAAAGAGAGGAAGAGUUUGUAAUAUUCUUCAGGGGAAGCCUUUUGAGAUUGAAAUAUCAUACUUUGAAUGAUAACUCUAUAUCUAUCUAUAAUAUACUAUGGUUUAAUGUUUGGAAAUCAAACGCAGUAUUUAUUUGUCAUGUGAACUACUAAAAGUAAAUCUGCAUGGACUUCUUGCCUGGUGAGUUACACAGAAAAUGAAAGUGAUUAUCAGUGGCUGUGGCAAGAUGAAAGGAACCAUGCCAGGACUUCUGAGGGAAGGAAGAGUGUUUGGGACUGAAAAAUCCUUGUCUGGAUCUAGUCCUCAGCCACUCAGAAGCUGGCAUGCCAUGACUCAAAGAGCCGCCCGUCUGGAAUGAAGACAGUGACCCGUAACUCCCACCUGAAGAGCAGGUGCUUGGAAAAUGCUGCCAGUCCGCAGGAAAAAGUUGUUACUGCUGCUGUCUGUGACCAAGAGGACACUUUAUUUCUUGAAACAACUGGGGGCAAACUGGCUCCCAGAUAAGGCUUCAGUCCCUACUCAUGUGAGGAAACCAGCCCUGCACCUGAGAGUUUAUUCAGUGACGAUAAUACUCACAAGACCCUUUUUGGAUUUGUGGCCCAACCCACAAGUUAUAGUUCCUUCUCUGAAUAUUUCAUCCAGAUUGUGAAGAGCAGCUUCUGGCAGCCACAGUUGUACUAUGUGACCCCUACUUCCCAUGCCCAGGACUGAUUCGACCCCGUAGUAGACACCUAAAGCAAUCCUGAUCAGUCAGAGUCUUUGUUCCUGACAUUUGGGAUUAGAGCAUGGCUGAAGGUUUAAGACACAAACUUGGAAGCUGUGGGGCAGCAAUACACCUCCAUGAGGACAGAGAAGCAGGGGAAAUAAGAAUAAACCAGAAGCUCACAGAAACGCAGGAAAUACUUCUAGAGUUCUAACACUUUUCGGGUUUCUUGUUCUAGUCCAUUCUUGACACACUUGUGCCUCACAGAAGCCAAUGGCAAGAAUGCAGUCAGAUCCUUCCAAUAAAUUCCUUUUAUUCUGUUUACAUUAGCAUAAGCUGGUUUCCGUUGCAACCAAAAAGACUUGAUGAAUAUAGGAGAGCAUCACACCAUUUUACAAAAGAGUAAACAGUGGCUCAAGUGGAUGGCGGAUGCCCCUACCACUGGGUCUUGAAUUCAGGACUUUGACUCUAAAUCUUAGGUCUUCUGAUUCUGAGGUCUGUGCUCUUUUCACCAGUUGGCCUCACCUAUAAUCCCUCCCCACAUCAUCCCAUUCUACCCAAAGAAUACAGUUCUCUCUCCUUCGUUGUGAUAGAAACUAGACAUCUCUGAUACUUUGCCUACAGUUGUAUGUCAAUCCAAAUGAGUGGCAGGUCUUCCGAGUCCCAUCCUCCCAGAUCUUCUCCAGAGAGCCCCUGUCUGCCUGAACAUGCCUCACAGUCUAUUUUCAAAGGGCAAAACCUUUCAUCUGGCAGAUGGUAACAGCUGCUUCUCUUUAAAACACCCAAAGGGUAGAAAUUCUGGGCUCUAACGUACAGGCAUAAGGCUCCUGCCAAGUCCUGACUGGGCUUAGCAUCAAAUCCUGUAGAAAAGGAAUAGGUACAGAACAUGGAUGUGAGGCCAGGCCAAAACGCAUUUUAUUGCUGGCUACUGUUUCCCAGCCACAGAAGAAUGCUGCUGUAGAAGGCAUGGCGUGGGUGAGAAAGAGACUUGUUGAACUGAACUUUAAUGGGAGAGGAUGUGGGGAGGGUGGGCUAGGGAGAGAGAAAGGAAGAGACGUCUUGAGAGAGCUUAUGAAGGUGAAAGAAGGCAAAAGACACAGAUGUGACUCCAUGAUGAAGCAAUGGAAAAUAAAAGUCUUUUAAUCAUCCAAUGGGAAUUUAAUGGACACCUUCUGUAUGCACUACAUGGAUUCGCCACAGAGGACAAGCCACAGAUGAGGAGGACCUGCCCUCUCUCUUCAGAGACUAUGAUCUAGAUCAGAGUUGGCAGAUCAGUUGCCUUCAUUAGUUUAAGAACUAUUUUGUAUGCACCUCUAUAUUCCAGGCACUACUCUAAAUUCCAAAAAUACAACAGCACAAAAAGACAGACUGGCAUUUUAUUAUCAUCGAGGAAGUGGGUGGAGGGUGCAGGCAAUUUUAAUAAGGUAGACUAGGAAGGUCUGGGUGAAGAGGUAACAUUUCAGGCAAAUUUACAUGAAAAAAAAAGUGCAAAGCAAAUGUAAAGGCUUUGAGAUUGGAGUAUUUUUAGUGUGUUUGAGGAACCAAAAAGGUUAAUGUGGAUGGAGCAGAGUGAAUGAGAAAGCAAGUAGUAGGAAAUGAGAUUGAAGAGGAAGGUAAAGCCAGCUCUUGUGCACCCUUGCAGGCCCCAGUAAGAAGUUUGGAUUUUAUGCCGAGUGGAAUGGA
RNAcentral lists this long non-coding RNA (3445 nucleotides) under Homo sapiens (human). RNAcentral's name for it is "non-protein coding lnc-SLC1A2-2:6". Lineage: Eukaryota; Metazoa; Chordata; Mammalia; Primates; Hominidae. The record is from RNAcentral.